Long non-coding RNA from Canis lupus familiaris (dog), 1390 nucleotides. RefSeq lists it as uncharacterized. The record is from RefSeq and is a predicted model, not a curated record. The transcript is spliced from 3 exons. Lineage: Eukaryota; Metazoa; Chordata; Mammalia; Carnivora; Canidae.
UAAUCUUCACUGGGGUGGGCCCAGGGAUGGAAUUAAUGGGGUCUUGAAUAUGUUUAUGAUCCAUGCAGUUGAUUUUUUUAAAAGAUUUUAUUUAUUCAUCAGAGACACCAAGAGAGAAGCAGAGACAUAGACAGGACUCGAUCCCAGAACCCCAGGAAUGCGACCUGAGCCAAAGUCCAGCCCCUAUUUAUUAACUUCCUCAUCAAAGGAAAUGAGAGGCUCAUCAGCAAGAGUUUGCAGUAGGAGUAACAGGUGGUUAACACGCGACAUGCAGGAUGCUGAGAUGACGUCCAGGAAGCGGUAAGCAGGGGAGCCAACCUGGUAGCAAAACGAGACACAACACAACAAAAGUAAGGGAGCGAUUGUGAUCGGCUUGGGAGCGACAGGCUGUGGGCAGCACCUUGUGGCCCUCAGCAGCCCCUGAUUAUCUGGAUCGCCCCGGCUAUGGACACCGGAGGGAGCCUUGAGAGAAGACCUCUGGGCGUGAAGGUGGCCCAGUGAGUCAAGCCUUCCUUAUAUCGGAUGGAUUUCAACCCGAGGAGACGGCGGCAAGGCUACGGGAAGAAAGCAGAACUUGCAAAGGUAAAACCAAUAUGCAAAAUCAAUAUACAAAAAUCAAGGAUCUUUCUAUACACUAGCAACAAGAAGUCAGACAAUAAAGAUUUGUGAAGAUAUCUUUAAAAAAGAACUAAAAGAAAGUUCUUAAAAAUAAAUCAAGUCUCUUAAGAAGAAAAUCAGAAAACUUUAUUCAAAGACAUUAAAGAGAGCCUAAAUAAAUGGAUAGAUUUACCAUAUUCCUGGGUGGGAAGACUCAACAUCGUUGAUACGUCCAUUCCUCUACACUGAUUGCUAACUUCAGAGCUUUUUUUUUUUUUUUUUUUUUUCAACUUCAGAGCAUUUUAACAGAUGAAAAUCCCAACAGGAUUUCUCAUAGAAUUUCACAAGUCAAAUCUGAAACUUAGACAGAAAAACAAAGGUUCAAGAAAAAACAAGACUCUGGCAAGGUGAGAGACUUUUCCUGUUAAAUAUCAAGAUAGAAAGCUCUUGGUAUAAAUAUCAAGAUAUAAACUGAAGGAUGUAUAGUAUCAAUCUGGAAACAGACAAACCAAUGGAAUAAAAUAGCCCAGAAACACAAAUGCAUAAAUGGUGUCUUUAUUGAUAGAGUGGUUACUACAGACCAGUAGGAAAGGGUGGGCUACUUAAUAAAUGGUGCCCAAACAAGGUAUUCAUAUGAAAAAAAAAAUACAAAUUUGAGUCCUUACCUCAUAUUAUAUACGACUCAAUUCCAGGUAAAUUAAGGACUUCAAUAUGAAAAACACAGUCAUAAAGCAUUUAGAAUAACAUAAAUGGAAUAUCUCUUUUUACUUAAAGGAUAAGGAAAAAAUUUAAA